CAGUAGCACGGUAAUACGUAGGGUGCAAGCGUUGUCCGGAAUUAUUGGGCGUAAAGAGCUCGUAGGCGGUUUGUCGCGUCUGCUGUGAAAUCCCGAGGCUCAACCUCGGGCUUGCAGUGGGUACGGGCAGACUAGAGUGCGGUAGGGGAGAUUGGAAUUCCUGGUGUAGCGGUGGAAUGCGCAGAUAUCAGGAGGAACACCGAUGGCGAAGGCAGAUCUCUGGGCCGUAACUGACGCUGAGGAGCGAAAGCGUGGGGAGCGAACAGGAUUAGAUACCCCCGUAGUCCCUGUCUCUUAUACA
Molecule: ribosomal RNA, 301 nt
Filed under: uncultured bacterium
Lineage: Bacteria
Description: partial 16S ribosomal RNA
Rfam family: Bacterial small subunit ribosomal RNA
Source: RNAcentral